This is a non-coding RNA of Notechis scutatus (mainland tiger snake), 135 nucleotides long. NCBI's taxonomy places the organism in Eukaryota, Metazoa, Chordata, Lepidosauria, Squamata, Elapidae. The record is from RefSeq and is a predicted model, not a curated record.
CUCAGACACUACAUUUGUUCCCACUGAAAGGACUUUUCAUCUGCUCUCUGGGCAAAAGGUAACUGAAAAUGUCAGACACUGAAGAUGUCAUUGAAGAAUAUGAAGAGGAACAGGAAGAAGACUGUAUUGAAGAAG